GACAGAGGGGGCAAGCGUUGCUCGGAAUUACUGGGCGUAAAGGGCGCGUAGGCGGGAUGGCAAGUCGGUCGUGAAAUCCCUCGGCUCAACUGCGGAUCGUCGAUCGAUACUGCCGUUCUUGAGGAUUGCAGAGGAGACUGGAAUUCCCGGUGUAGCGGUGAGAUGUGUAGAGAUCGGGAGGAACACCGGUGGCGAAGGCGGCCCCCUGGGCCGCUCCUGACGCUGAGACGCGAAGGCCAGGGUAGCGAACGGG
RNAcentral lists this ribosomal RNA (253 nucleotides) under uncultured bacterium. RNAcentral describes it as "partial 16S ribosomal RNA". It matches the Rfam family "Bacterial small subunit ribosomal RNA", at positions 524 to 776 of the family's 1533-position model. The record is from RNAcentral.